RNAcentral lists this long non-coding RNA (465 nucleotides) under Carica papaya (papaya). Its description in RNAcentral is "long non-coding RNA (CPAP_LNC003346)". Lineage: Eukaryota; Viridiplantae; Streptophyta; Magnoliopsida; Brassicales; Caricaceae. The record is from RNAcentral.
GUACAUUAAUAUGAACAAACCAAACAUACAUCAUGCUAGAUAAUAGAGAAAAUCAAAUAAAUCAUGGAAUGCUCAUAUUUUUGUGUCAUGCUUCGUGAAGUCGUUUCAACUUCCAUCUUUAAAGGCAGAUACAGAUUUCUAAUUACCCAAGUAGAAUGACUAGAUCACAUACAGAUACGACAAUUUGCUCAAAUCUAUUUUCCACUAGCUAAACCAUGGUACGAUCUACAAGUAAGACUAACAAUAGUGACCCUAUCAGAUAUCUACAGUCACAACAGUACUUAGCUAAGGGUGACCCCUAAUAGAUAUUCGUGUUACCACUCUCAUUAGAGGGUAAGUCGUUAUCCAAUGGGAGCGAUCCCCUUAUGUCUUUCCAGACUAGAUGGGUGAGGGGGAAACAAAUACACCAAAGGGCUAGGGGAAUAAAUACCUCUCUAAGAUAAAAAGCCUAAUGAGACACUUGAU